ACAAUGAAGAGUUUGAUCCUGGCUCAGGAUGAACGCUAGCGGCAGGCUUAACACGUGCAAGUCGAGGGGUAACAGGGAUUGCUUGCAAUCCGCUGACGACCGGCGCACGGGUGCGUAACGCGUAUAGAACCUACCUUUUACAGAGGGAUAGCCUUUAGAAAUGAAGAUUAAUACCUCAUAGU
This 182-nucleotide ribosomal RNA is filed under the name Asprobacillus argus. RNAcentral's name for it is "partial 16S ribosomal RNA". It matches the Rfam family "Bacterial small subunit ribosomal RNA", at positions 1 to 177 of the family's 1533-position model. Lineage: Bacteria; Pseudomonadati; Bacteroidota; Flavobacteriia; Flavobacteriales; Flavobacteriaceae. The record is from RNAcentral.